GUUUUUUUUUUCCCAUGGUGAAAUUAUAAACUGGUAAUAAACUGUUUACAUUUGAAAAAUUCUGUAGUACUGCAUUUUACACAACUGAUCAGCCUAAAAGUUGUUUCUUAAGGAAAAUCUUUUGUCCCCCCCAGAAGAAAUUACAUUUAAUUUAUUAACCCCUAAAACUGUUAGUUUUGUCAUCUGUGCAUCUGGUAGCCAGAGCAUGGGGAUUUCUCUUCAGCAGCAUAGAUACUCCAGCCUUGAAUGGACCAUUGUCUAGCUCCUGUGAGAAACCUGACUAAUAAAUAUUUGAGAAAAACAACUCAAGAAUAUACGUUAUUCAUACAUUUCUCAAGUACUUGAGAUUUUGUUGUAUUAUGGUCAAUCAUUAAAAAGAUGUUUACCUGGGUUUCAUUAAUUAAACCCUCUAAGAUAUUUUCCAUUUUAUUGUUAAACCCUUGAUGUUAGCAAGGAUCAGCACAAGAAAAGGCCCAGUGGUGGGAAUAUCUACAAAUUCUGUAAAUCUUACUGAAUUAAUUGUGUUGUUGAGUGGUGCUUGUAUAAGGAAACAUGCAAUAAAUUCAUUCAACAAACAUUGAAUUGAAUGCUUGUUGUGUGUUGCAUGCCAAGGCCACCAUACAUAGAAAAAUCUUAGACCUAUGGAAUCUACCCUUGUUAAAUCAUUCAAGCUAAUGAAUUCAGGUACGUAAAGCAAGUAAAUCACAGUAAGACGUGGUUAGUACCUUAAAAGAAGAAUAAACAAAAUAGGAUGAAGGCACAGAAGAUGGACUGAUUUGCUGCCUGGAAGAGAAGGGGAAGGCUUGGUAAGAGGAAGGCGUUUGACAGGAUUUUGACCAAGGUCUCCUAUACCCAAGCUCAUGUACUUUUCUUGAUGCCUGGAAGAAGGUUAAGGCUGACUGAAGAGAGCUGUGGGCUUCGAGGUAGCAGAGGAGUUCCAUGUACAAAGGGUUGAAAACAUGAAAGAACAUAGUGUGCUCAGAGAAAACCAAGGAGCUAAACUUGAGAGUGAUGAAGAUGUAGGAUGGAAGUAUAGACUGGGGUGGUUAUACAUGUUUUUAAUUUAAUAAUUCUUUGUUUAAAGGAAUCGAUCUGUUGGUUUGUAUCAGAUAAGACUGUUAGAACCCUAGGAGUUCUUCCUUUUGCCUUCCUUGCCAAGGAAGUUAGUAAACCUCACCUUUGCUGGAGUUUGUGGUAUUUGACAUAUUUGCUUUCCUUUCCCACAUGUAAGAAAUGAUGUGUGCUUGCGUGUCUCUCUGCUGUGAGAUCCCCUGCUUCAUACUGAAUGCCUGUUUUCGUCCUCUCAUCCUAUUCAUUCCAUACAUAUUUAUUGAAAACCCACUGAGAAAAUAAAUAGCCAUGAAACUUAUCUGUUAGUGCCCAAGACUUUCAUGGCCCAGUUUUCCAUUUCUACACUAUUUCUUAACCACUACAAUUCACUGGCUUCAUUCACUUGGGGCACAUUCUGCAGUGUUCUUCAUAGCUAUAAACUUCUUUCAUUUGCGGUGGUAUGAUCUCACCAACUAGAUUUUAAGCUGCUUUCAGGGCAGGGACUAGAUCAUCUGCUUGUUGGAAUAUUUUAUCACUUGAAAUAACAGUGAUGAGAAGGAAAAGAAAUGAUACGCCCCAAGAAACUUCAAGGUAAUGAAUGAUGAGGGCCUAGCACGUGUGUUGUGCCAUCUCUUGGUGGAUAUGUAUGGAAAUGUGAAAAAGCUUUCUAAGAUAUAUCAGACCUUUGCUCAGUACUCACUUUUGUAUAUUAACUUAGGAUGGAGUGAUGCAACAGAAGAAAUCUGGAAAACACUUCCAAGACUUGGGAGCCAUGAAUUGGAAAUUUAAGAAUUUGGAGAUUUGGUCCAUCAUCUGACCUGAAGACUACAACUUUGAUUUCAGAGUUAUUAAUUAGAAGCAAUGAAUUGAACAGAACUAAGACUCAACCUUGAGGAAGCUCUGUCCUGCUUUUCUAAUUAACAAUCUGGUAAGAUAUACUAAACAUGCCCCUUAUCACCUUAUUAACAACAUUUAUUAUUCUGAAUGAAAUGAUGGAUAAGUCAUGCAUAACUAAGAAUUCUAGGCUGAUUUUUUUAAAACAACAAUCAUUAAAUAUGCAUUAUAAAUAUUCACUUUAUUUUAAAAGAAUUGGAAGAUGUUACAUAUAUUACACACUACAUAUAAUGGCACAUGUCAGCCUUUUAAGCUUAAAAAUAAUCUUUCCCCAAACUGGGAUUGACUUAGACUCCAAGUAUAAAAUGACUCUUGGCCUAUAGCACCAACCCAGGCCCAGAGGAAAGCCAAUUUUGAACCUGUCUUCCUUGGGCAUUGGGCCUCCUGAUAUGACACUGAGGGUCCUCUCCCUCUGGUUUUGUUCCCUGGCAGUACUGAGGCCUGGCACAGGAACCCAUUUGACUAUACAUCGCAGGCCUGGGAAAUCAGGGAAUCUAGUGGGGAAGGGUCCUCUAACAAUUUUACAAUGGGAAAAAAAAA
Long non-coding RNA from Lontra canadensis (Northern American river otter), 2484 nucleotides. RefSeq lists it as uncharacterized. NCBI's taxonomy places the organism in Eukaryota, Metazoa, Chordata, Mammalia, Carnivora, Mustelidae. The record is from RefSeq and is a predicted model, not a curated record. The transcript has 2 exons.